Molecule: ribosomal RNA, 428 nt
Filed under: uncultured bacterium
Lineage: Bacteria
Description: bacterial SSU rRNA
Rfam family: Bacterial small subunit ribosomal RNA
Source: RNAcentral
AGUUAGCGGCGGACGGGUGAGUAACACGUGGGCAAUCUGCCUGGCAGACUGGAAUAACAUCCGAAACGGGUGCUAAUGCCGGAUAGGCAGCGAAGAGGCAUCUCUUUGCUGAGAAAGGUGCUACGGCACUACUGACAGAGGAGCCCGCGGCGCAUUAGCUAGUUGGUGGGGUAACGGCUCACCAAGGCGACGAUGCGUAGCCGACCUGAGAGGGUGACCGGCCACACUGGGACUGAGACACGGCCCAGACUCCUAUGGGAGGCAGCAGUAGGGAAUCUUCCGCAAUGGGCGCAAGCCUGACGGAGCAACGCCGCGUGAGCGAAGAAGGCCUUCGGGUUGUAAAGCUCAGUCAUUCGGGAAGAGCGGGUGGGAGAGGGAAUGCUCCUACCGAGACGGUACCGGAAGAGGAAGCCCCGGCUAACUACGUG